GGGAAUGCAGCAGUGAACAAAAUGAACUAAUAUUCCUGUCUUCAUGGAACUUAACAUUGUACAUAAACUAUAAAACAUAUGUGAUGAUAAAUGUUGUAAAGAAAAGCUGAGAAGGGCAGGUUCAAGCGAGUCUCCUGCCUCAGCCUCCUGAGUAGCUGGGACUACACGUGUGUGCCACCAUGCCUGGGUAUUUCCUAUAUCUUCCUGUCUUUUCCAUGGCCAAAAAUGAUCAAGUAAAGAACAUUAAAGAAGAAAUAAAUUACUACAUAUUAAAAAAUACAUACUGUAAGAUGUUCUUUGUACAAAAAUGUGACAACUUCAAUAAGAGUAACUUGGACAACCUGAGGCAUUAAUUGAGGAUCAAUAUGAUGACUUUACAUUGAGAAUCACAUAUACCCUCUGAAUAAAUUUAAAAAAUGAAAUUUUUUAAUUUUCAUUAAAAAUUAAAUUUUUUUGAGUGAUGAAAAUACUCAAUCACAUUAUUUUCAAAUUGUUGAUAAGCAUGGAAAUUAUCAGAGAACCAGAAUAUUCAAGGUUUAUCUUUCCUGUUUUUGUCUUAAAUCACAACUAUGUGUUAAAUAAUUUGUAUGACCUAUUUCAGUGGCAGUAGGUUAAAUAAAAUUCUGUUUGUAUCUCC
This 637-nucleotide long non-coding RNA is filed under the name Homo sapiens (human). RNAcentral's name for it is "long intergenic non-protein coding RNA 1013". Lineage: Eukaryota; Metazoa; Chordata; Mammalia; Primates; Hominidae. The record is from RNAcentral.